RNAcentral lists this ribosomal RNA (253 nucleotides) under uncultured bacterium. RNAcentral describes it as "partial 16S ribosomal RNA". It matches the Rfam family "Bacterial small subunit ribosomal RNA", at positions 524 to 776 of the family's 1533-position model. The record is from RNAcentral.
UACGGGGGGAGCAAGCGUUGUUCGGAAUUACUGGGCGUAAAGGGCGCGUAGGCGGCCAUCUAAGUCAGACGUGAAAUCCCCCGGCUUAACCUGGGAACUGCGUCUGAUACUGGGAGGCUCGAGUUUGGGAGAGGGAUGUGGAAUUCCAGGUGUAGCGGUGAAAUGCGUUGAUAUCAUCAGGAACACCGGAGGCGAAGGCGGCUCACUGGGGGUCUUCUGACGCUGAGGAACGAAAGCCAGGGGAGCGAACGGG